Molecule: ribosomal RNA, 1926 nt
Filed under: human gut metagenome
Description: bacterial LSU rRNA
Rfam family: Bacterial large subunit ribosomal RNA
Source: RNAcentral
UCAAGCGACUAAGUGUAUGUGGUGGAUGCCUUGGCGAUUACAGGCGAAGAAGGACGUCGCAGCCUGCGAAAAGCCGUGGGGAGCUGGCAAGCGAGCACUGAUCCACGGAUGUCCGAAUGAGGGAACUCACCCGCAAGGGUAUCUUGAAGUGAAUACAUAGCUUCAAGAGGCGAACGCAGCGAACUGAAACAUCUAAGUAGCUGCAGGAAAAGAAAUCAACCGAGAUUCUGAAAGUAGCGGCGAGCGAAAUUGGAAGAGCCUGCAAGUGAUAUUGAAUUCGAUACUGGAACGGUCUGGAAAGUCCGGCUACAGAGGGUGACAGCCCCGUACGGGAAAUUGGGUUCAAGGUACUGAGCUUGCGAGAAGUAGAGCGGGACACGUGAAAUCCUGCUCGAAGAUGGGGGGACCAUCCUCCAAGGCUAAAUACUCGUAAUCGACCGAUAGCGAACCAGUACUGUGAAGGAAAGGCGAAAAGAACCCCGGGAGGGGAGUGAAAUAGAUCCUGAAACCGCAUACAUACAAACAGUAGGAGCCCGCAAGGGUGACUGCGUACCUUUUGCAUAAUGGGUCAGCGACUUACGUUCAAUGGCAAGCUUAACCGAGUAGGGGAGGCGCAGCGAAAGCGAGUCCGAACAGGGCGAUAUGAGUCGUUGGGCGUAGACCCGAAACCAGAUGAUCUAUCCAUGGCCAGGCUGAAGGUGUGGUAACACACACUGGAGGGCCGAACCGACUAGUGUUGCAAAAUUAGCGGAUGAGCUGUGGAUAGGGGUGAAAGGCUAAACAAAUCUGGAGAUAGCUGGUUCUCCCCGAAAACUAUUGAGGUAGUGCCUCGUGUAUGGCUCCAGGGGGUAGAGCACUGUUAUGGCUAGGGGGACAUGGCGUCUUACCAAACCAUGGCAAACUCCGAAUACUUGGAAGUCUGAGCACGGGAGACAGAGCACCGGGUGCUAACGUCCGGACUCAAAAGGGAAACAACCCAGACCGCCGGCUAAGGUCCCUAAUAUUGACUAAGUGGAAAACGAAGUGGGAAGGCUAAGACAGUCAGGAAGUUGGCUUAGAAGCAGCCAUCCUUCAAAGAAAGCGUAAUAGCUCACUGAUCGAGUCUUCCUGCGCGGAAGAUGUAACGGGGCUAAGUCAAUAACCGAAGCCGCGGAUUCGCAGCAAUGCGAGUGGUAGGGGAGCGUUCUGUAAGCCUGCGAAGGCGGAUCUGCGAGGACCGCUGGAGGUAUCAGAAGUGCGAAUGCUGACAUGAGUAACGUUAAAGCGGGUGAAAAGCCCGCUCGCCGCAAGCCCAAGGUUUCCUGCUCUACGUUCAUCGGAGCAGGGUGAGUCGGCCCCUAAGGUCAGGCUGAGAAGCGUAGCUGAUGGGAAGCUGGUUAAUAUUCCAGCACCGAUUUCAAGUGCGAAGGGGGGACGGAGUCCUGAAGGUCAUCCGGGUGUUGGAUAUCCCGGUUUACGAGCGUAGGAGGUUGACAGGCAAAUCCGUCAACGAAUCUCCAAGGCGAAGGAUCGAGGUUGAGAGAUCAACUGAAGUGACUGAAUGGGCUUCCAGGAAAAGCCUCUAAGCAUCAGCUUGGAAUUGACCGUACCGCAAACCGACACUGGUGGGCGAGCUGAAUAUGCUCAGGCGCUUGAGAGAACUCAGGAGAAGGAACUCGGCAAAUUGACACCGUAACUUCGGGAUAAGGUGUGCCUUUGUAGUGUGAAGGGAGAAACACCCCGAGCAUGAAGAGGCCUCAGAGAAUCGGUGGCUGCAACUGUUUACUAAAAACACAGCACUCUGCAAAGAUGAAAGUCGACGUAUAGGGUGUGAUGCCUGCCCGGUGCUGGAAGAUUAAUUGAUGGGGUGCAAGCUCCUGAUCGAAGUCCCAGUAAACGGCGGCCGUAACUAUAACGGUCCUAAGGUAGCGAAAUUCCUUGUCGGGU